GAUCAACGCUGGCGGCGUGCAUAACACAUGCAAGUCGAACGAUGAAGAUUAAAAGAUUUCUUCGGAAUGAACUUAAUUGGCUUAGUGGCGGACGGGUGAGUAACGCGUGAGUAACCUGCCUUGUACAAGGGGAUAGCCGUUGGAAACGACGAAUAAUACCCUAUGACAUCAAAUAAUCGCAUGAUAAUUUGAUCAAAGAUUUAUCGGUAUAAGAUGGACUCGCGUCUGAUUAGCUAGUUGGUAGAGUAAAAGCCUACCAAGGCAACGAUCAGUAGCCGGCUUGAGAGAGUGUACGGCCACAUUGGGACUGAGACACGGCCCAGACUCCUACGGGAGGCAGCAGUGGGGAAUUUUGCACAAUGGGGGAAACCCUGAUGCAGCGACGCCGCGUGAUUUAGAAGGCCUUCGGGUUGUAAAAAUCUUUUGUAUGGGAAGAAAAUGACAGUACCAUACGAAUAAGGACCGGCUAAUUACGUG
This 477-nucleotide ribosomal RNA is filed under the name uncultured bacterium. RNAcentral describes it as "partial 16S ribosomal RNA". It matches the Rfam family "Bacterial small subunit ribosomal RNA", at positions 28 to 507 of the family's 1533-position model. The record is from RNAcentral.